GCAGUCGACGAUGAAGCCCUUCGGGGUGGAUUAGUGGCGAACGGGUGAGUAACACGUGGGCAAUCUGCCCUUCACUCUGGGACAAGCCCUGGAAACGGGGUCUAAUACCGGAUAAUACUCCUGCCUGCAUGGGCGGGGGUUAAAAGCUCCGGCGGUGAAGGAUGAGCCCGCGGCCUAUCAGCUUGUUGGUGGGGUAAUGGCCCACCAAGGCGACGACGGGUAGCCGGCCUGAGAGGGCGACCGGCCACACUGGGACUGAGACACGGCCCAGACUCCUACGGGAGGCAGCAGUGGGGAAUAUUGCACAAUGGGCGAAAGCCUGAUGCAGCGACGCCGCGUGAGGGAUGACGGCCUUCGGGUUGUAAACCUCUUUCAGCAGGGAAGAAGCGAAAGUGACGGUACCUGCAGAAGAAGCGCCGGCUAACUACGUGCCAGCAGCCGCGGUAAUACGUAGGGCGCAAGCGUUGUCCGGAAUUAUUGGGCGUAAAGAGCUCGUAGGCGGCUUGUCACGUCGGAUGUGAAAGCCCGAGGCUUAACCUCGGGUCUGCAUUCGAUACGGGCUAGCUAGAGUGUGGUAGGGGAGAUCGGAAUUCCUGGUGUAGCGGUGAAAUGCGCAGAUAUCAGGAGGAACACCGGUGGCGAAGGCGGAUCUCUGGGCCAUUACUGACGCUGAGGAGCGAAAGCGUGGGGAGCGAACAGGAUUAGAUACCCUGGUAGUCCACGCCGUAAACGUUGGGAACUAGGUGUUGGCGACAUUCCACGUCGUCGGUGCCGCAGCUAACGCAUUAAGUUCCCCGCCU
RNAcentral lists this ribosomal RNA (800 nucleotides) under Streptomyces sp. SC4s1. RNAcentral's name for it is "bacterial SSU rRNA". It matches the Rfam family "Bacterial small subunit ribosomal RNA", at positions 57 to 874 of the family's 1533-position model. The record is from RNAcentral. Lineage: Bacteria; Bacillati; Actinomycetota; Actinomycetes; Kitasatosporales; Streptomycetaceae.